This 464-nucleotide ribosomal RNA is filed under the name uncultured bacterium. RNAcentral describes it as "partial 16S ribosomal RNA". It matches the Rfam family "Bacterial small subunit ribosomal RNA", at positions 28 to 507 of the family's 1533-position model. The record is from RNAcentral.
GACGAACGCUGGCGGCGUGCUUAACACAUGCAAGUCGAACGGAAAGGCCCAGCUUGCUGGGUGCUCGAGUGGCGCACGGGUGAGUAAAACGUGGGUGAUCUGCCUCUAACUUCGGGGUAAGCUUGGGAAACUGGGUCUAUUACCGGAUAGAUCAAUCGUUUAUUGUCGGUUGUGGAGAGGUUUUUCGGUUAGGGAUGAGCCCGCGGCCUAUCAGCUUGUUGGUGGGGUAAUGGCCUACCAAGGCGUCGACGGGUAGCCGGCCUGAGAGGGUGGACGGCCACAUUGGGACUGAGAUACGGCCCAGACUCCUACGGGAGGCAGCAGUGGGGAAUAUUGCACAAUGGGCGCAAGCCUGAUGCAGCGACGCCGCGUGGGGGAUGACGGCCUUCGGGUUGUAAACCUCUUUCGACAGGGACGAAGCUUUGGUGACGGUACCUGUAGAAGAAGCACCGGCUAACUACGUG